RNAcentral lists this ribosomal RNA (440 nucleotides) under uncultured bacterium. RNAcentral describes it as "partial 16S ribosomal RNA". It matches the Rfam family "Bacterial small subunit ribosomal RNA", at positions 338 to 795 of the family's 1533-position model. The record is from RNAcentral.
CCUACGGGUGACAGCAGUGGGGAAUAUUGCACAAUGGGGGAAACCCUGAUGCAGCGACGCCGCGUGAGUGAAGAAGUAUCUCGGUACGUAAAGCUCUAUCAGCAGGGAAGAAAAUGACGGUACCUGACUAAGAAGCCCCGGCUAACUACGUGCCAGCAGCCGCGGUAAUACGUAGGGGGCAAGCGUUAUCCGGAUUUACUGGGUGUAAAGGGAGCGUAGACGGCAGAACAAGUCUGGUGUGAAAUCCCGGGGCUUAACCCGGGAACUGCUUUGGAAACUGUGCGGCUGGAGUGCAGGAGGGGUAAGCGGAAUUCCUAGUGUAGCGGUGAAAUGCGUAGAGAUUAGGAGGAACACCGGUGGCGAAGGCGGCUUACUGGACUGUAACUGACGUUGAGGCGCGAAAGCGUGGGGAGCAAACAGGAUCAGAUACCCCAGUAGUC